GCGGCCGCGGGCUCGUUCCUGUAGAGCGGCGCUCCCGCCAACAAUGGGAUCCCGGUUCCUCUCGUGUCCCCGCGUGGUGCUGAACCCACAGCCCCACACUUGUGGGGCGCGCCCCAUAGCGGGGCUUCCGCAACCCCACACUGUGCCCCACAACCCCACACUGUGCCCCACAACCCCACGUUGUGCCCCACACAUUGCCCCAUAACCCCAUAUAGCGCCCCAGAACCCCACACAUUGCCCCAUAACGCCACAUGCUGCCCCACACAUUGCCUCAUAUCCCCCCUAGUGCCCCAUAACCCCACACGCUGACCCACACAGCGCCCCAUAACCCCACAUUGUGCCCCACACAUUGCCCCAUAACCACCCCAGUGCCCCACAACCCCACCGUGUGCCCCACACAUUGCUCCAUAACCCCACACACUGCCCCACACAUUGCCCUGUAACCCCACACUCUGCCCCAUAACUCCUCCAGUGCCCCAUAGCCCCACAUGCUGCCCCACAGAGCCCCAUAACUUCACACAGCGCCCCACAGCCCCUCUUUGCCCCAUAACCCCACAUACUGCCCCACACAUUGCCCCAUAACCCCACACAUUGCCCCAUAACUCCNUCACGGGGCCGGUCGUGGUGUCACGGUGUUGGCGUGGGGCUGGUCACGGUGUUGCCAUGGGGCCGGUCGCGGUGUCACGGUGUUGGUGUGGGGCCGGUCACGGUGUCACGGGGAUGUCACAGUGUUGGUGUGGGGCUGGUCGUGGUGUCACGGUGUUGGUGUGGGGCCGGUCGUGAUGUCACGGUGUUGUCACGGGGCCAGUCGUGGUGUCACGGUGUUGGUGUGGGGCCGGUCGCGGUGUUGGUGUGGGGCCGGUCACGGUGUCACAGUGUUGUCACGGUGUUGGCGUGGGGCCGGUCGCGGUGUCACGGUGUUGUCACAGUG
This 931-nucleotide long non-coding RNA is filed under the name Numida meleagris (helmeted guineafowl). RNAcentral describes it as "lncRNA (ENSNMEG00000002350.1)". Lineage: Eukaryota; Metazoa; Chordata; Aves; Galliformes; Numididae. The record is from RNAcentral.